AUUGAACGCUGGCGGAAUGCUUUACACAUGCAAGUCGAGCGGCAGCACGGGGGCAACCCUGGUGGCGAGCGGCGAACGGGUGAGUAACACAUCGGAACAUGCCCAGUCGUGGGGGAUAACACUUCGAAAGAAGUGCUAAUACCGCAUACGUCCUGAGGGAGAAAGCGGGGGAUCGCAAGACCUCGCGCGAUUGGAGUGGCCGAUGUCAGAUUAGCUAGUUGGUGGGGUAAAGGCCUACCAAGGCAACGAUCUGUAGCUGGUCUGAGAGGAUGAUCAGCCACACUGGGACUGAGACACGGCCCAGACUCCUACGGGAGGCAGCAGUGGGGAAUUUUGGACAAUGGGGGCAACCCUGAUCCAGCCAUUCCGCGUGAGUGAAGAAGGCCUUCGGGUUGUAAAGCUCUUUCGGCAGGAACGAAACGGUGUGCUCUAACAUAGCUUGCUAAUGACGGUACCUGAAGAAGAAGCACCGGCUAACUACGUG
RNAcentral lists this ribosomal RNA (484 nucleotides) under uncultured bacterium. RNAcentral's name for it is "partial 16S ribosomal RNA". It matches the Rfam family "Bacterial small subunit ribosomal RNA", at positions 30 to 507 of the family's 1533-position model. The record is from RNAcentral.